GACGAACGCUGGCGGCGUGCUUAACACAUGCAAGUCGAACGGAAAGGCCCUGCUUUUGUGGGGUGCUCGAGUGGCGAACGGGUGAGUAACACGUGAGUAACCUGCCCUUGACUUUGGGAUAACUUCAGGAAACUGGGGCUAAUACCGGAUAGGAGCUCCUGCUGCAUGGCGGGGGUUGGAAAGUUUCGGCGGUUGGGGAUGGACUCGCGGCUUAUCAGCUUGUUGGUGGGGUAGUGGCUUACCAAGGCUUUGACGGGUAGCCGGCCUGAGAGGGUGACCGGCCACAUUGGGACUGAGAUACGGCCCAGACUCCUACGGGAGGCAGCAGUGGGGAAUAUUGCACAAUGGGCGGAAGCCUGAUGCAGCAACGCCGCGUGCGGGAUGACGGCCUUCGGGUUGUAAACCGCUUUCGCCUGUGACGAAGCGUGAGUGACGGUAAUGGGUAAAGAAGCACCGGCUAACUACGUGCCAGCAGCCGCGGUGAUACGUAGGGUGCGAGCGUUGUCCGGAUUUAUUGGGCGUAAAGGGCUCGUAGGUGGUUGAUCGCGUCGGAAGUGUAAUCUUGGGGCUUAACCCUGAGCGUGCUUUCGAUACGGGUUGACUUGAGGAAGGUAGGGGAGAAUGGAAUUCCUGGUGGAGCGGUGGAAUGCGCAGAUAUCAGGAGGAACACCAGUGGCGAAGGCGGUUCUCUGGGCCUUUCCUGACGCUGAGGAGCGAAAGCGUGGGGAGCGAACAGGCUUAGAUACCCUGGUAGUCCACGCUGUAAACGGUGGGUACUAGGUGUGGGGUCCAUUCCACGGGUUCCGUGCCGUAGCUAACGCUUUAAGUACCCCGCCUGGGGAGUACGGCCGCAAGGCUAAAACUCAAAGGAAUUGACGGGGCCCCGCACAAGCGGCGGAGCAUGCGGAUUAAUUCGAUGCAACGCGUAGAACCUUACCUGGGUUUGACAUGGAUCGGGAGUGCUCAGAGAUGGGUGUGCCUCUUUUGGGGUCGGUUCACAGGUGGUGCAUGGCUGUCGUCAGCUCGUGUCGUGAGAUGUUGGGUUAAGUCCCGCAACGAGCGCAACCCUUGUUCACUGUUGCCAGCACGUUAUGGUGGGGACUCAGUGGAGACCGCCGGGGUCAACUCGGGGGAAGGUGGGGAUGACGUCAAGUCAUCAUGCCCCUUAUGUCCAGGGCUUCACGCAUGCUACAAUGGCUGGUACAGAGAGUGGCGAGCCUGUGAGGGUGAGCGAAUCUCGGAAAGCCGGUCUCAGUUCGGAUUGGGGUCUGCAACUCGACCUCAUGAAGUCGGAGUCGCUAGUAAUCGCAGAUCAGCAACGCUGCGGUGAAUACGUUCCCGGGGCU
RNAcentral lists this ribosomal RNA (1346 nucleotides) under uncultured bacterium. RNAcentral describes it as "partial 16S ribosomal RNA". It matches the Rfam family "Bacterial small subunit ribosomal RNA", at positions 28 to 1381 of the family's 1533-position model. The record is from RNAcentral.